RNAcentral lists this non-coding RNA (24 nucleotides) under Cricetulus griseus (Chinese hamster). Lineage: Eukaryota; Metazoa; Chordata; Mammalia; Rodentia; Cricetidae. The record is from RNAcentral.
GUAGUGGGGACUCCGGCAGACUGG